UUCGAAAGCUGUCGCUUCCCUCCCUCGGUUUGAGCAACAGAGUUUUAUCUCCAAAAGAAACAAAGGAAAAAGUAAGUAAAAAGCCAAAGAGAAAUUAAAGAGAGAGAGAAAAAAAAAAUUAUAAUGGCGGUCCCGCAGCGGUGGUGAAAGCAAUUGCACAAUUUCAACGAUUCAUCGAUAAUCAAUCAUUAAUCGUUUUAACUUUUUGUUCGAAUUCCAAAGCCGAUGAGGUAUGGGCUAAUCCCACUUCUGGUCCCCGUCGGAUUGAGACUCCUAACAAAAGCGAAGCAAGCCGUGCUACUAGCGGGGAUCUGUUUAUCAGCUGGCUUCAAAGAAAUGAACGCUUGACUAAUCCGUCAGGGUGCUCCCGCCCUUAACCUAGGUUGAGACCUUUCGAGAUUCUUAGUCAAGCCUCAACACCCUGUAAUCUUUCUAAAGCGGAUUGAACUCAUGGAUGGGUGAUGGCUGCCAUAUGGUGAAGAGUUUCCUAUAAUAGCUUAAAGAACUCCAUUAAAAUUUAAAUGGCUAUGGCUCCAGGAAGCAGUACCUGCAAAGAAGUAGUUGAUUCUCAUCCUUCAGUUUCAGGGCAUGACAUAGCAAUGUCUAAAUCAGAGAAUAAUUCUACAUCUUCAAAAGUCCUACUUGGUUCGAGUGGGAAGCUUGGAGUUUAUUCAACCAAUGGCGUGCAAGAAUUGCUCGAGUGUCCUGUCUGCACAAAUCUGAUGUACCCUCCAAUUUACCAGUGCCCAAACGGCCACACACUGUGCUCAAACUGCAAGAUCAGAGUUAGCAACUGCUGCCCGACCUGUCGUCAUGAACUCGGAAACAUAAGGUGCUUGGCAUUGGAGAAGGUAGCUGAGUCGCUGGAAAUCCCCUGCAGAUACCAGAAUUUGGGUUGCCAAGAUAUUUUCCCUUACUACAGUAAGCUUAAGCAUGAGCAACACUGUCGAUUCCGUCCUUACAACUGCCCUUAUGCUGGAUCCGAGUGCUCGGUCACGGGCGACAUCCCGUCUCUUGUUGCACAUCUCAAAGAUGAUCACAAGGUUGACAUGCACGACGGGUGUACCUUCAAUCAUCGCUAUGUGAAAUCAAAUCCACACGAAGUUGAAAACGCCACAUGGAUGCUAACGGUUUUCAACUGCUUUGGAAGACAGUUCUGCUUGCAUUUCGAGGCGUUCCAGCUAGGAACAGCGCCUGUUUACAUGGCGUUCUUACGAUUCAUGGGCGAAGAUAACGAAGCAAAAAAGUUCAGCUACAGUUUGGAAGUGGGUCACAACGGGCGUAAACUGAUAUGGCAAGGAAUUCCGAGAGGCAUCCGUGACAGUCACCGAAAAGUUCGUGAUAGUCAAGACGGUCUCAUCAUUCAAAGAAAUCUGGCACUGUAUUUUUCGGGGGGAGAAAGACGAGAGCUGAAACUGAGAAUCACGGGUCGAAUAUGGAAAGAAGAAUGAGAGCAGGAGCAAGGGCCUAAGCUAAGCUCUUGUGGUGUUCAGGUGAAUGUAUCAUUGUACAGGUAAAACAAGUUUGUUCUCCAAGUGCUGAAAAAGCUCUUGGAGAAACUUCCAAGCUAAUAUAAAAAAUGUAACCUACAAAAUGAAUCAAAGAAGCUUUUAUGUAUUUAUAGUUCGAGAUUCGUUUCAA
Molecule: RNA transcript, 1641 nt
Organism: Cucurbita maxima (winter squash)
Lineage: Eukaryota; Viridiplantae; Streptophyta; Magnoliopsida; Cucurbitales; Cucurbitaceae
Gene name: E3 ubiquitin-protein ligase SINAT2-like
Exons: 6
Source: RefSeq, a predicted model, not a curated record